GUCCAUAGCUCAGUCGGUAGAGCACCGGGCUAGCAAUCCGGAGGUCUCGGGUUCGAAUCCCGAUGGAACCC
This is a non-coding RNA of Lytechinus pictus (painted urchin), 71 nucleotides long. Lineage: Eukaryota; Metazoa; Echinodermata; Echinoidea; Temnopleuroida; Toxopneustidae. The record is from the annotation of a RefSeq genome assembly.